This 397-nucleotide ribosomal RNA is filed under the name uncultured bacterium. Its description in RNAcentral is "partial 16S ribosomal RNA". It matches the Rfam family "Bacterial small subunit ribosomal RNA", at positions 523 to 918 of the family's 1533-position model. The record is from RNAcentral.
AUACGUAGGGGGCGAGCGUUGUCCGGAAUGAUUGGGCGUAAAGGGCGCGUAGGCGGCCCGGUAAGUCUGGAGUGAAAGUCCUGUUUUUAAGAUGGGAAUUGCUUUGGAUACUGUCGGGCUUGAGUGCAGGAGAGGUAAGUGGAAUUCCCAGUGUAGCGGUGAAAUGCGUAGAGAUUGGGAGGAACACCAGUGGCGAAGGCGACUUACUGGACUGUAACUGACACUGAGGCGCGAAAGUGUGGGGAGCAAACAGGAUUAGAUACCCUGGUAGUCCACACUGUAAACGAUGAAUGCUAGGUGUAGGGGGUAUCGACCCCUUCUGUGCCGCAGUCAACACAAUAAGCAUUCCGCCUGGGGAGUACGGCCGCAAGGUUGAAACUCAAAUGAAUUGACGGGG